RNAcentral lists this long non-coding RNA (5762 nucleotides) under Setaria viridis. Its description in RNAcentral is "long non-coding RNA (SVIR_LNC009634)". Lineage: Eukaryota; Viridiplantae; Streptophyta; Magnoliopsida; Poales; Poaceae. The record is from RNAcentral.
AAGAAUUGCUUUUUGGCUAGAUAUUCGAUUUUUUUGGGUUCAGUAGAGCAUAUUGUAGGAAUCAAAAUUGGGCAAUCUGUCUGCCAAUUGGAAGUUUUGGGCAAUCAGUUAAGUUUAUUCAGUUCGUUGAUCGGAUGGACAGAGAUGGCUCAAAGGUAAAAUGGAAGAAUGCCUGAGAUGUGGUUGACUUGGGAGUUUUCCAGCUUUUUAUUGGAAUGAAUCCUGUGGUUUUGGAUAACCGAGUUGUUCAUAUGCUAGCUAGAACUCAGAAGGUCCUAAUUAAAUCCUGUAGAUGAUGUGACACCUUCUACAUCACAUGUUCAGUUCUUUGAUAUACAAAAGAACCUUCUUUUGUGUUAGUUUUAGUGUAGAUACAUGUAGUUUGAAACUUAGAAAGCUGCACACAAUUUUACAAUUCAAAACAUCUUAAGAAGAAAAAUGCAAGUAUCAAGGCUGACUAGAUUAAUGAGUAGGAGUCUGAGGCCCCCUUUGGUAGGACUUCCAAACCGGCUUCACCACCGGCUUGUGGUGAAGCCCUUGAAGGGAUACGAGGUAAGCUACGCUAGCGCAAAUCAAAAUUUUUCUACCGCGUAAAUCAGGAAAAAAUGUCAUAUAAGGAUCACGGGAUUACCACUCGACGCACUGGUGCGGAAGAUGUAGAAUCGCGUUGGGGCAGCGAAGUCGAUCAGCGUAGUUGAACGUAGUCGAUCACGUCGAUGUCGAGCAGCUCCUCAGCAGCUCGUCCACGUGCAGCAAGAUCGUCCUCGUGCCGCGGCUCGUCGGCGGCUUGUUGUGGCUCGUCGUGGCUCGUCGGCGGCUCGUCCAAGUGCUGCAAGCGCAACACCUCCAAGGUAUCCACACGUGCAGGGAGGAAGCGUCGCAAGCCAGACUGCUAGAUCCGCGAGUUGCAACAGGCGAGGGCGUGGGAGGCGCGGCAGAUGUGUUUCGCCAAAAAGGUGUAAACCCUAGGGCGCCCCCACCCCUCUAUUUAUAGAGGUUCCUAACGGGCCUCUAGGUCCGAGGCCCAUUAGUACUUCUAAACCUAAUCCAACUCGGAUCACAUCCGAAUUGGGCUUCCAGCCCCUUAAGUGUGUGACCCUAUGGGUUCGGAUACGUAUAGACAUGGCCCGAGUACUCCUACUCGGCCCAAUAGUCGGUAGCGGCCUCUAGCAAGACGUGCCAACUCCUAUACGCACACGAAGAUCAUAUCAGACGAACCGUCACAACAUUAUGUACAUGCUAUUUCCUUUGCCUCACGAUAUUUGGUCUAGCUUCAAGCCGACCGUUCUUUCUCGAUCCUGUGAUUCAGAAUCCCUUUGUAGGUUAACUCUUAACCGUACGUAGCAUGGCCAUGCAUUUUCGAAUCCGAUCACUCGAGGGGCCCAGAGAUAUCACUUUCAAUCAGAGAGGGGCAAAUCCCAUCUUGAUUGACCAUGUCUCACAGCAUGCUUCUUGACAAACCCGAAAGCUACCUUUUUAACUACCCUGUCACGGUGUAGCGUUUGAUAGCCCCUAACUAAGCCGAUCCACAUCUUGAAUACAUGCGACAAUCUCAAGUCUAAGGACAAAGCGUACAUGUUGUGUAAAGAGAGAACUACUUCUCGUGUUGGGUCAGUCCUAGCACAUGUCUCCACAUGUGCCCACAUUAUUAGUUUAACAUCUCCAUGUCCAUGACUUGUGAAACAUAGUCAUCAACUAAUACAUGUGCUAGUCUAAUAUUCAUGUGUGUCCUCACAUGAACCCCGACUAGGGACAACUUUAGAAAAACCAUACAAGUAAAGAGUUUCACAUACAAUUCACAUAAUUGCAAAUCAAUUCAGGUAGCCUUUAAUGGAUAUUCAAUGAACACAAUAUACAAAUCAUGGAUACAAAUGGAAUAUCAUGAUCUCUAUGAUUGCCUCUAGGGCAUACCUCCAACAGCCCUACCAAACGGCUCAGCAGAGAAUGGCUUCAGCGGAGGAGCCGCUUGAAUCCCGCUGACUGGAGCUGUUCUGUGGAGGGGGAGCCAAAAAAAUUGGCUCCCUGCGGCUCCUCCUGUCGAUUUGCCACCGUUGUCCUUAGGUGGGGCCUGCGGGUGAAGCGAGGCAGCACAAGGAUGCUGGGCAGUGAGCGAGGAUGCUGAGCAAUGAGCGAGGAUGCUGGACAGUGAGCGGAGGUGCCGGUCGGCGGCGGGCAGAGCGACGGUGGCGCGUCGUGGAGGCGGCCAGCGGCGGGCGCUGGAGCGGAGACACCGGCGGGUGCGGGGGUUGGCUGGCAGCAGGGAGUGGAGACGUCGAUCGGUAGUGGGCGUAGAAGCUCGGGCUAGAGGCCGACGACGACCGACGCUAGGGGAGAAGGAUGGUGAGGCCCGAGCAGGGGGGAGCUCGAUGGCAGCGCCAGGGGGAGCUUGAUGUCGAGGUUGGGCGGGGGGAGCUUGAUGGCGAGGUCGGGUGGGGGGAGCUUGAUGGCGAGGUUGGGUGGGGGGAGCUCGAUGGUGGCGCCAGGGGAGUGGACGGCAAGGCCCAAGCGGGAGGAGGAGGAAUACAGCGGUCUGUGGAUAGGAAUGAGGACGACGGGUCACGAGUCAAAUGGAUAAGGAAGCUCGGAAGAAAAAGAAAGGGGCAGGAAAGUAGGAAAAGAGGGGGAAAAAGAAAAGAAAUAAGGAAAAAAAGAGAAAAUGCAUUAAUUUUUUCAUUUCAUAUGAUAAAUCACACUACAAUUGAGGCUGAAUGGAUAAGGAGGAUGGGGAAAGGGAAGGAAAUGGAGUGAAGAAAUAAUGGGAAGAAAAGAGAAAAAGAAAAGGAAAAAUGAGAGGGGUAUUAUAGGUAUUUCAUCCUCUUAUCUAUGUUACACAGCCAGGAGAAGCCGUUUUGCCAAACAUUUUUUCAACCAGACAAGCCAAAGCCAAAAAAAGCUGCUUCAUCGGAGAAGCAACAGCCGCAGCCAUUUUAGACACUGCCGCAGCCUUGCAAAACGAGUCCUGAGACUGUGUUAAAGUUCUGUAACCGUCCCUGCAUGAGAGCUCGAGGCAUGUCUAGGUUGUGUUACCAUCUCUAGGCCACUACGAACCAAGUUGAAACUGAGUCCAACUAGCUUUUGAGUUCGAGCACUGUGUCCAAGUCUAAAGCUAUGCCAGGAUAUCACAUAUCAGGCUGUGUGAAGACAUCAACUCUAGGGACAUAUUGAGAAAACAAGUUAAGCAGGAAAUUGUUGGAUAUUUAAUUUUUUUCUUGGGUAUAAAAAGUAAAGUUGGGAUGCAUACAUGUCAGUGCUGGAACUCAGUAAUAGCUUCCUGUAGUUGUUACUUAAAUGAAUAAAACCUACACGGUUAUCAAAUGAGCUCAAAUACACACAGUUAACAACACAAGUAUAGCUGAAUAAUCCCCCUUAAUGUCGUUGUUAUAAACAAAUAUUCUCCUUUUUCUUAAUUUGCUCCUGUGAAUCACCCCAAUAUCUUUUGUUUGUUGGGUUUUCUUCUUGUUUCAGGACAAGUCUGUUAAGCCUUGGAAAGAGAAAUUCAAGGAUGACGGGAUUGAACUUAUGAUACCUGCACAUGUAGAUGAUUUGGCCGCUCAAAUCAUUCAGUUGUUGGUCCAGAUAGAGUGUUGAAAUCGACAUUACAGCAGAGUAUGUUUUCCACAGUCCAAACUUAGAUUUCUUUUUUGUUAUCUCACACAUUAAUUGUUCUACGUUUGGGCGUACGCCAUCAUGCUCUGACCUCUGAGAUGGCUGGUGCUAAAUUCAUUCUUAACAAGCGAACCCAUUAACUAAAAGCAUCACCUGCUCCACACUUGAGUAUGUUAAUAUCUUGCCUGCAGACAACUUGAUAACCUUUUUUAUUUUGCAGUUGCUAUUUUCUCUUAUCAAUCCGUCAGCCGCCCCAAGCAACAUGUUAGUGUUUCUUGCAAGCCUUUGCUAGACAGGUGAGAUAACAAAAAAGAAAUCCAAGUUUGGAUUGUGGAAAACAUACUCUACAAAAAAGAAAUCUAAGUUUGGAUUGUGGAAAACAUACUCUGCUGUAACCUGUCUAGCAAAGGCUUGCAAGAAGCACUAACAUGUUGCUUGGGGCGGCUGACGGAUUGAUAAGAGAAAAUAGCAACUGCAAAAUAAAAAAGGUUAUCAAGUUGUCUGCAGGCAAGAUAUUAACAUACUCAAGUGUGGAGCAGGUGAUGCUUUUAGUUAAUGGGUUCGCUUGUUAAGAAUGAAUUUAGCACCAGCCAUCUCAGAGGUCAGAGCAUGAUGGCGUACGCCCAAACAUAGAACAAUUGAAGUUGACUUUCUCUGCAUACCUCAUGUCAAUGGCCAGACUAGCGCGUUUUAGGACAUUUUUAUUUUAUGCCUUACAAUUUUGGUUAGCUUCUAAUCCUGGUGUUGGUUCAACUUCAAUUUCCUACUAUCUUUAUGUUGCUUGGUACAACUGGAACUCCCAAUUUCAGUUUUUAAGUUGCACUUUCUUGGCAUUUUAGUAUGCAUUCCACAGGACUUUUGAUCUCACAUCGCUAGUGUAGAAUCUAUUUUGAUUCACCACCUCCCUUUCGCUGCACUGUUCCUGUGCUCUUACAUGUGCCUGGCCGCCUGCUUCAACAUUGAAUCAAAUCAAACUAUGAACAUAGCGUCCUGUUUAAGGACCAUAAUGUUGGCACUUGUGGUACAGUGCUGAACACUUUGGCUGUUUUGUAUUUUACCAGCUAAUGUAUUCAUCUUGAUUGGAAUGUCUAAUAGAUGCUGCAUCUAUUGAGAGCUUUGUGCCACAUAGACUCAUAGUGAAAAAUUGCUUUUUGGCUAGAUGUUCGAUUUUUUUGGGUUCAGUAGAGCAUAUUGUAGGAAUCAAAAUUGGGCAAUCUGUCUGCCAAUUGGAAGUUUUGGGCAAUCAGUUAAGUUUAUUCAGUUCGUUGAUCGGAUGGACAGAGAUGGCCCAAAGGUACAAUGGAAGAAUGCCUGAGAUGUGGUUGACUUGGGAGUUGUCCAGCUUUUUAUUGGAAUGAAUCCUGUGGUUUUGGAUAACAGAGUUGUUCAUAUGCUAGCCAGAACUCAGAAGGUCCUAAUUAAAUCCUGUAGAUGAUGUGACACCUUCUACAUCACAUGUUCAGUUCUUUGAUAUACAAAAGAACCUUCUUUUUUGUUAGUUUUAGUAUAGAUACACGUAGUUUGAAACUUAGAAAGCUGCACACAAUUUUACAAAAAUCUUAAGAAGAAAAAUGCAAGUAUGAAGGCUGACUAGAUUAAUGAGUAGGAGUCGGAGGCCCCUUUUGGUAGGGCUUCCAAACCGGCUUCACCACCGGCUUGUGGUGAAGCCCUACCAAACGGCUCAGCACAGAAUGGCUUCACCAGAGGAGCCGCUUGAAUCCCGCUGAUUGGAGCUGUUCUGUGGAGGGGGAGCCAAAAAAAUUGGCUCCCUGCGGCUCCUCCUGUCGAUUUGCCACCGUUGUCCUCAGGUGGGGCCCACGAGUGAAGCGAGGCAGCACGAGGAUGCUGGGCAGUGAGCGAGGAUGCUGAGCAAUGAGCGAGGAUGCUGGGCAGUGAGCGGAGGCGCCGGUCGGCGGUGGGUAGAGCGACGGUGGCGCGUCGUGGAGGCGGCUAGCGGCGGGCGCUGGAGCGGAGACACCGGCGGGCGCGGGGGUUGGCUGGCAGCAGGGAGUGGAGACGUCGAUCGGUAGUGGGUGUAGGAGCUCGGGCUAGAUGCCGACGACGACCGACGCUAGGGGAGAAGGAUGGUGAGGCCCGAGCAGGGGGGAGCUCGAUGGCAGCGCCAGGGGGAGCUUGAUGUCGAGGUUGGGCGGGGG